GCGGAUUAAUACCGUAUGACAUUCUAAGGUUUCAUGACAUUAGAAUUAAAGGUUUACCGGUAAUCGAUGGGGAUGCGUUCCAUUAGAUAGUAGGCGGGGUAACGGCCCACCUAGUCAACGAUGGAUAGGGGUUCUGAGAGGAAGGUCCCCCACAUUGGAACUGAGACACGGUCCAAACUCCUACGGGAGGCAGCAGUGAGGAAUAUUGGUCAAUGGACGAGAGUCUGAACCAGCCAAGUAGCGUGAAGGAUGACUGCCCUAUGGGUUGUAAACUUCUUUUAUAAAGGAAUAAAGUAGUCCACGUGUGGAUUUUUGUAUGUACUUUAUGAAUAAGGAUCGGCUAACUCCGUGCCAGCAGCCGCGGUAAUACGGAGGAUCCAAGCGUUAUCCGGAUUUAUUGGGUUUAAAGGGAGCGUAGAUGGAUUUUUAAGUCAGUUGUGAAAGUUCGGGGCUCAACCCCGUAAUUGCAGUUGAUACUGGAUAUCUUGAGUACAGUUGAGGUAGGCGGAAUUCGUGGUGUAGCGGUGAAAUGCUUAGAUAUCACGAAGAACUCCGAUUG
This 559-nucleotide ribosomal RNA is filed under the name uncultured Bacteroidales bacterium. RNAcentral's name for it is "bacterial SSU rRNA". It matches the Rfam family "Bacterial small subunit ribosomal RNA", at positions 158 to 715 of the family's 1533-position model. Lineage: Bacteria; Pseudomonadati; Bacteroidota; Bacteroidia; Bacteroidales. The record is from RNAcentral.